GACGAACGCUGGCGGCGUGCUUAACACAUGCAAGUCGAACGGAAAGGCCCUGCUUUUGUGGGGUGCUCGAGUGGCGAACGGGUGAGUAACACGUGAGUAACCUGCCCUUGACUUUGGGAUAACUUCAGGAAACUGGGGCUAAUACCGGAUAGGAGCUCCUGCUGCAUGGUGGGGGUUGGAAAGUUUCGGCGGUUGGGGAUGGACUCGCGGCUUAUCAGCUUGUUGGUGGGGUAGUGGCUUACCAAGGCUUUGACGGGUAGCCGGCCUGAGAGGGUGACCGGCCACAUUGGGACUGAGAUACGGCCCAGACUCCAACGGGAGGCAGCAGUCGGGAGUAUUGCACAAUGGGCGGAAGCCUGAUGCAGCAACGCCGCGUGCGGGAUGACGGCCUUCGGGUUGUAAACCGCUUUCGCCUGUGACGAAGCGUGAGUGACGGUAAUGGGUAAAGAAGCACCGGCUAACUACGUG
RNAcentral lists this ribosomal RNA (468 nucleotides) under uncultured bacterium. Its description in RNAcentral is "partial 16S ribosomal RNA". It matches the Rfam family "Bacterial small subunit ribosomal RNA", at positions 28 to 507 of the family's 1533-position model. The record is from RNAcentral.